GACGAACGCUGGCGGCGUGCUUAACACAUGCAAGUCGAACGGAAAGGCCCUGCUUUUGUGGGGUGCUCGAGUGGCGAACGGGUGAGUAACACGUGAGUAACCUGCCCUUGACUUUGGGAUAACUUCAGGAAACUGGGGCUAAUACCGGAUAGGAGCUCCUGCUGCAUGGUGGGGGUUGGAAAGUUUCGGCGGUUGGGGAUGGACUCGCGGCUUAUCAGCUUGUUGGUGGGGUAGUGGCUUACCAAGGCUUUGACGGGUAGCCGGCCUUGGAGGGUGGACGGGCACAAUGGGACUGAGAUACGGCCCAGACUCCUACGGGAGGCAGCAGUGGGGAAUAUGGCACAAUGGGCGGAAGCCUGAUGCAGCAACGCCGCGUGCGGGAUGACGGGCUUCGGGUUGUAAACCGCUUUCGCCGGAGACGAAGCGUGAGUGACGGUAAUGGGUAAAGAAGCACCGGCUAACUACGUG
RNAcentral lists this ribosomal RNA (468 nucleotides) under uncultured bacterium. Its description in RNAcentral is "partial 16S ribosomal RNA". It matches the Rfam family "Bacterial small subunit ribosomal RNA", at positions 28 to 507 of the family's 1533-position model. The record is from RNAcentral.